GUACCUUUAGCUCAAUUGGUUAGAGCAGACGGCUCAUAACCGUCCGGUCGUAGGUUCGAGUCCUACAGAGUACA
This 74-nucleotide transfer RNA is filed under the name Enterococcus hirae. RNAcentral's name for it is "tRNA-Ile". It matches the Rfam family "tRNA". From Rfam's summary of the family: Transfer RNA (tRNA) molecules are approximately 80 nucleotides in length. Their secondary structure includes four short double-helical elements and three loops (D, anti-codon, and T loops). Further hydrogen bonds mediate the characteristic L-shaped molecular structure. tRNAs have two regions of fundamental functional importance: the anti-codon, which is responsible for specific mRNA codon recognition, and the 3' end, to which the tRNAs corresponding amino acid is attached (by aminoacyl-tRNA synthetases). tRNAs cope with the degeneracy of the genetic code in two manners: having more than one tRNA (with a specific anti-codon) for a particular amino acid; and 'wobble' base-pairing, i.e. permitting non-standard base-pairing at the 3rd anti-codon position. The record is from RNAcentral. Lineage: Bacteria; Bacillati; Bacillota; Bacilli; Lactobacillales; Enterococcaceae.